UACAGAGGUCUCAAGCGUUGUUCGGAUUCAUUGGGCGUAAAGGGUGCGUAGGCGGCGCGGUAAGUCGGGUGUGAAAGCUCGGAGCUCAACUCCGAAAUGGCAUUGGAAACUACCUUGCUUGAGGGUUGGAGGGGGGACUGGAAUGCUUGGUGUAGCAGUGAAAUGCGUAGAUAUCAAGCGGAACACCAGUGGCGAAGGCGAGUCCCUGGACAACUCCUGACACUGAGGCACGAAAGCUAGGGGAGCAAACAGG
This 253-nucleotide ribosomal RNA is filed under the name uncultured bacterium. RNAcentral's name for it is "partial 16S ribosomal RNA". It matches the Rfam family "Bacterial small subunit ribosomal RNA", at positions 524 to 776 of the family's 1533-position model. The record is from RNAcentral.